GAUGAAGAACGUAGCGAAAUGCGAUAAGUAAUGUGAAUUGCAGAAUUCAGUGAAUCAUCGAAUCUUUGAACGCACAUUGCGCCCGCUAGUAUUCUGGCGGGCAUGCCUGUCCGAGCGUCAUUUCAACCCUCAAGCCCCCGGGCUUGGUGUUGGGGAUCGGCGAGCCUCCGCGCCCGCCGUCCCCUAAAUCUAGUGGCGGUCUCGCUGUAGCUUCCUCUGCGUAGUAGCACACCUCGCACUGGGAAACAGCGCGGCCACGCCGUUAAACCCCCAACUUCUGAACGUUUGACCUCGGAUCAGGUAGGAAUACCCGCUGAACUUAAGCAUAUCAAUAAGCGGAAGA
RNAcentral lists this unclassified non-coding RNA (343 nucleotides) under soil metagenome. Its description in RNAcentral is "partial contains 5.8S ribosomal RNA, internal transcribed spacer 2, and large subunit ribosomal RNA". The stretch from base 1 to 120 matches the Rfam family "5.8S ribosomal RNA", at positions 35 to 154 of the family's 154-position model. The record is from RNAcentral.